Molecule: ribosomal RNA, 194 nt
Filed under: uncultured bacterium
Lineage: Bacteria
Description: partial 16S ribosomal RNA
Rfam family: Bacterial small subunit ribosomal RNA
Source: RNAcentral
GCCUCCUCGCGCCAUCAGACUCCUACGGGAGGCAGCAGUGGGGAAUUUUGGCGCAAUGGGGGAAACCCUGGACGCAGCAACGCCGACGUGGAGGAUGAAGUCCCUUAGGGACGUAAACUCCUUUCGACUGGGAAGAUAAAUGACGGUACCAGUGGAAGAAGCCCGGCUAACUUCGUGCCAGCAGCCGCGGAAUU